CCUACGGGUGGCAGCCGUGAGGAAUAUUGGUCAAUGGGCGGAAGCCUGAACCAGCCAAGUCGCGUGAGGGAUUAAGGCCCUGCGGGUCGUAAACCUCUUUUGCCGGGGAGCAGAGGUCCGGACGUGUCCGGGCCGGGAGAGUACCCGGAGAAAAAGCAUCGGCUAACUCCGUGCCAGCAGACGCGGUACUACGGAGGAUGCGAGCGUUAUCCGGAUUUAUUGGGUUUAAAGGGUGCGGAGGCGGUCAUUUAAGCCGGCGGUCAAAUGUCGGGGCUCAACCACGGCCUGCCGUCGGAACUGGGUGCCUUGAGUGGGCGAGAAGUAUGCGGAAUGCGUGGUGUAGCGGUGACAUGCAUAGAUAGCACGCAGAACCCCGAUUGCGAAGGCAGCAUACCGGCGCCCUACGGACGCUGAGGCACGAAAGUGCGGGUAUCGAACAGGAUUAGAUACCCCAGUAGUC
This 460-nucleotide ribosomal RNA is filed under the name uncultured bacterium. Its description in RNAcentral is "partial 16S ribosomal RNA". It matches the Rfam family "Bacterial small subunit ribosomal RNA", at positions 338 to 795 of the family's 1533-position model. The record is from RNAcentral.